CGGGGUUAGUGGCGGACGGGUGAGUAACACGUGGGAACGUGCCUUUAGGUUCGGAAUAGCUCCUGGAAACGGGUGGUAAUGCCGAAUGUGCCCUUCGGGGGAAAGAUUUAUCGCCUUUAGAGCGGCCCGCGUCUGAUUAGCUAGUUGGUGAGGUAACGGCUCACCAAGGCGACGAUCAGUAGCUGGUCUGAGAGGAUGACCAGCCACACUGGGACUGAGACACGGCCCAGACUCCUACGGGAGGCAGCAGUGGGGAAUCUUGCGCAAUGGGCGAAAGCCUGACGCAGCCAUGCCGCGUGAAUGAUGAAGGUCUUAGGAUUGUAAAAUUCUUUCACCGGGGACGAUAAUGACGGUACCCGGAGAAGAAGCCCCGGCUAACUUCGUGCCAGCAGCCGCGGUAAUACGAAGGGGGCUAGCGUUGCUCGGAAUUACUGGGCGUAAAGGGCGCGUAGGCGGAUCGUUAAGUCAGAGGUGAAAUCCCAGGGCUCAACCCUGGAACUGCCUUUGAUACUGGCGAUCUUGAGUAUGAGAGAGGUAUGUGGAACUCCGAGUGUAGAGGUGAAAUUCGUAGAUAUUCGGAAGAACACCAGUGGCGAAGGCGACAUACUGGCUCAUUACUG
RNAcentral lists this ribosomal RNA (620 nucleotides) under Brevundimonas diminuta. RNAcentral's name for it is "bacterial SSU rRNA". It matches the Rfam family "Bacterial small subunit ribosomal RNA", at positions 87 to 742 of the family's 1533-position model. The record is from RNAcentral. Lineage: Bacteria; Pseudomonadati; Pseudomonadota; Alphaproteobacteria; Caulobacterales; Caulobacteraceae.